UUUUUUUUUCCCCCCAGAUUCGUCAAAACGUCUCAGCAGAGAAAGAGAAUUUUCCCGUGGCCUUGGAAAGCAAAGAAAAUCAGAGCACCCAGGAGUGUGAUUCUCAAGAUGUUGCCAAGACGUGUUUGGGGAGUCACAAUAAUUCGACAUCUCAUUUGAAGGCAGCAGAAACAGAGACAAGCUCUCAGAAGUUGCACAGCCUCCCACGGACUAAACCCGAAGACAAAAAAUCACCUGAAAGAGAUGAGAAAAAAUCAGAAGAGCCUGUUAGUACAAAAGAAAAAAAACUCUAGGCACUACUAACCCACAUUAAGAACGCCAUUCACUUGCUUCCACCUUCAGAUUCUUUUUAGUGCAAAGUCAUGAAAUGUACCGGGUUUCUAAAGCAUGCAUUUUUCACUAUUUUAUGAAUGUUUGUAAAUUAGUCUAGAAUAGACCGAUUAGUACCUUCCAGCCAUAAUCCAAAAGGGAUGUUUGAAGAAACUCUUCAGAAUACAGCCCAGUUUUUGAACUCUUGUUCUACACAUAAGUAUUUGCAUAGUUUCUUUGUAAACAAAAGCCAAUCUUAAGUAUUUUCUCAGUCUGUUCUAUUUCAUGUACCUUUAUGGCAGAUUAGGUUUUUAAAUUAAGAUUAAAGGGGCAGCUGGGGAGGGGGGGAGAAAUAUCUGUGUAGCCAUAGUUGAAGUACAACUCGUAAGUGCAGCUGUAAAAAGGGAACUGUGGAUGGGGGGGGGAGGGAGGGGUCCAUGUAUUACCUUUCAGUAAUACCAUUUCAAUUCUACUAAUUUAAACAAUAAAAGAUGUUUAUUUGUUU
Molecule: long non-coding RNA, 814 nt
Organism: Empidonax traillii (willow flycatcher)
Lineage: Eukaryota; Metazoa; Chordata; Aves; Passeriformes; Tyrannidae
Exons: 3
Source: RefSeq, a predicted model, not a curated record